UACGAAGGUGGCAAGCGUUACUCGGAAUUACUAGGCGUAAAGGGCAGGUAGGUGGUCUGGUAAGUCUGUUGUGAAAGCUCCUUGCUUAACGGGGAGAGGUCAACAGAUACUGCCAGGCUUGAGUCUAGGAGAGGGUACUGGAAUUCCCGGUGUAGCGGUGAAAUGCGCAGAGAUCGGGAGGAACACCAAUGGCGAAAGCAGGUCCCUGGACAAGUACUGACGCUCAGGCGCGAAAGCUAGGGGAGCAAACAGG
RNAcentral lists this ribosomal RNA (253 nucleotides) under uncultured bacterium. Its description in RNAcentral is "partial 16S ribosomal RNA". It matches the Rfam family "Bacterial small subunit ribosomal RNA", at positions 524 to 776 of the family's 1533-position model. The record is from RNAcentral.